CUACAGACCUAAACACACCUGGCCUCAUCUGGUCUCAGAAACUAAGUAGUAUUGAGCCUGACUAGCACUGGAAUGGGAGACGGAGAGAGAGAGAGAGGGAGU
This 102-nucleotide ribosomal RNA is filed under the name Erinaceus europaeus (western European hedgehog). The record is from RNAcentral. Lineage: Eukaryota; Metazoa; Chordata; Mammalia; Eulipotyphla; Erinaceidae.